This 84-nucleotide transfer RNA is filed under the name Candidatus Woesearchaeota archaeon. RNAcentral describes it as "tRNA-Ser". It matches the Rfam family "tRNA". Rfam says of the family: Transfer RNA (tRNA) molecules are approximately 80 nucleotides in length. Their secondary structure includes four short double-helical elements and three loops (D, anti-codon, and T loops). Lineage: Archaea; Nanobdellati; Candidatus Woesearchaeota. The record is from RNAcentral.
GCCGUGGUGGCACAACCUGGUACUGCGCAAGCCUGGAAAGCUUGUUUCCGAAAGGAUUUCCCAGUUCAAAUCUGGGCCACGGCG